UACGGGGGGGGCAAGCGUUGUUCGGAAUUACUGGGCGCAAAGGGCGUGUAGGCGGCUCGAUAAGUCUGCUGUGAAAGUCCAGGGCUCAACCCUGGAAGGCCGGUGGAAACUGUCGGGCUAGAGUCCGGAAGAGGAGAAUGGAAUUCCCGGUGUAGCGGUGAAAUGCGCAGAUAUCGGGAAGAACACCCGUGGCGAAGGCGGUUCUCUGGGACGGUACUGACGCUGAGACGCGAAAGCGUGGGGAGCGAACAGG
This 253-nucleotide ribosomal RNA is filed under the name uncultured bacterium. RNAcentral's name for it is "partial 16S ribosomal RNA". It matches the Rfam family "Bacterial small subunit ribosomal RNA", at positions 524 to 776 of the family's 1533-position model. The record is from RNAcentral.